UUGACACUGAAAAGUACUGACAUCGAAAAAAGACUUGCAUUGUAAAAAAAAACGCACUGAAAAAGGCUGACAUGAAGAAACAAAGAAAAUAUUGUCAUUGAAAAAGCACAUCAGAAUAAACAAAAAAAAACAUCAAAACGUCUUUUCAGUGCCCAAAGUUUUCAAUUCAAGUGUUUUAAUGCCAAAGUUCAAUUACUCAGUUUAGUUUUUUAUCAUGCUGAUUUUGUGCUUUUUCAGUGCCAAACCUAAAGUCUCUGUUUUAGCUCCAUAUCAACCCGGGUUCAAUUCAAUUUCUUUAACGCCUUUGUAUGUUGCGUUGAGAAAAGCUUCUGCUCAAUAUUCAAACUCCACUGUUAUGCUGAGGAUCUGCGUUGCGUUUGAUUCAACGCUGGUAAACAGGUGACAUACGGUCUUCAUCUGCAAGGUAACCAGGAGGUGCAGCUGAGGGGUGUGUUUAACACAUUAGGAGGGUCCUUCUGCCUGAAGACUGAUGGCAGUCCAACCUGUCAUUUUCACUGCCAACCCUCAUUAGACUCCUCCCAACGCAGUCUCAACCGCCAAUGGAUUUUCCAUCAGUAUCCAAAGAAGGGAAAGGAUGAAUUGAAAAGGAUGGCACAUGUCUCUAGUUGGGUGUGGUCUACCUUGUUGAGACACAUAUCUGGAAGCCUUACUGUGGAUGAGAUGACAGUUGAUGAGCGAGGAGACUGGAUUGGGUGUUUGUUUAAUUCUCGGCCGGUGGGUGAAUGGAAGUUUGCAGUGGCUCAGAUCCAACCCAAUCGGAGGUCUCCUGGAGUGUGCUGUCAGAAAUCUGGCAGGCUUCCGCACACAGAGGAUACUCUCUUCAAAUCACCCAAUAGGAAAUGAGAGAUGUUGGCUUUGCCUUGACAGGCAGAUAUGCGUGUGGUGCAUAUUUGAUUGGACAUAUAGAAUCUGGAAACUGCCAUACAGCGGCUUGUUGCACGGGCUAAUGUGACAUCAAAGUAGGUUUGAUGGAGGUUGCAGUAGCUUUGGAAGAUGACUUGAGGUGAUUGAAAUAGCUUUGAUGUGUAAGGAAAUUUAUGGAAGCUUAGUCCUGGUAGAACUUUUUUAUAUAUUAAUGUGUGCUGUCAUGCAUUAAAACUACUCUCUGUCCAG
Clupea harengus (Atlantic herring) is the source of this 1134-nucleotide long non-coding RNA. The record is from Ensembl. Lineage: Eukaryota; Metazoa; Chordata; Actinopteri; Clupeiformes; Clupeidae.